UUCGCAAUGCCCGAAAGGGUGACGAUGCGACGCCGCGUGAGCGAAGAAGGCCCUAGGGUUGUAAAGCGCUGUCGAGGGUUAAGAAAUGUAAGUGCGCUAAUAUCGCGUUUAUUUGACGAAGGCUCCAAAGGAAGUCACGGCUAACUCUGUGCCAGCAGCCGCGGUAAUACAGAGGUGGCAAGCGUUGUUCGGAAUUAUUGGGCGUAAAGAGCACGUAGGUGGGUUUGCAAGUCAGAUGUGAAAGCCUUCUGUUCAAAGGAAGAACGGCAUCUGAAACUGCAGAUCUUGAGUGUAGGAGGGGAGAAUGGAACUUCUGGUGGAGCGGUGAAAUGCGUAGAUAUCAGAAGGAACGCCGGCGGCGAAAGCGAUUCUCUGGCCUAUUACUGACACUCAGGUGCGAAAGCUAGGGGAGCAAACGGGAUUAGAUACCCCGGUAGUCCUAGCCGUAAACGAUGGGCACUAAGUAGAGGGGUUUU
Molecule: ribosomal RNA, 476 nt
Filed under: uncultured anaerobic ammonium-oxidizing bacterium
Lineage: Bacteria
Description: bacterial SSU rRNA
Rfam family: Bacterial small subunit ribosomal RNA
Source: RNAcentral